This 253-nucleotide ribosomal RNA is filed under the name uncultured bacterium. RNAcentral's name for it is "partial 16S ribosomal RNA". It matches the Rfam family "Bacterial small subunit ribosomal RNA", at positions 524 to 776 of the family's 1533-position model. The record is from RNAcentral.
UACGUAGGUGGCAAGCGUUGUCCGGAUUUACUGGGCGUAAAGAGCGCGCAGGCGGUCGACCAAGUCGCGUGUGAAAGCCCCCGGCUCAACUGGGGAGGGUCACGCGAUACUGAUCGACUCGAAGGCAGGAGAGGGUAGUGGAAUUCCAGGUGGAGCGGUGAAAUGCGUAGAGAUCUGGAAGAACACCAAAGGCGAAGGCAGCAUUCUGGCUCGUAUCUGACGCUCAUGUGCGAAAGCUAGGGGAGCGAACGGG